This 1457-nucleotide long non-coding RNA is filed under the name Patiria miniata (bat star). Its description in RNAcentral is "uncharacterized LOC119734708". The record is from RNAcentral. Lineage: Eukaryota; Metazoa; Echinodermata; Asteroidea; Valvatida; Asterinidae.
AAUUGGAAUUUUCUAGAGAUUUCCAAAAUUGCAACCACUUAUGAAACACUGUGAUGAUCAUGACUAAUCAUUUUUUUGGUUAUAUAAGUAGACAAAUGAACAGUCCUGCCAUUCAACAGACAUUCUACCCAGCAGAUAGACGUUCAUCAGCCUAGCAGCAUCAACAACUGCAGUAAAAAUACAGAGCAGUAAUAUCUACACUUGUUUUAAUCAAGCAACCCCCACUGAAAAGAUUCCUAAAAGAGGAAUUGAGACACAACGUGAAACCCAGCAAUCCAAACAAGUUGUCUGCACCAUCGAAAGAAACACUAUGGAGAUUCCAAGGCAGACCAUUGGCAUAACUCACGUUGAGGAGGGUCUAAACGAGGCUAACGGAAUCAUUUCCUCGUUCAGCGACUGGUGUGUUGUGGGAUUCGUUCAAUGCUUACAGGUAGUAGCACAGGCAAAAGAACUGAUAGCGACUCCACAGUUUAAUGAUCACGUUGAAGCCCUUCAGCGUCGUUUUCGUAAUCCACCACCACUCCCCAUUUUAGAAGUACACAUUGAUGAACCUGAAGAUGAGCAGCCUCGAGUACCAAAGAAAAACCCUGUAAAUCACCAAGAAAUCUAUGAAAAAAUAAAAACCCGUUAUGAGCCAUGGCGGCAACCAGUAAAUGAGGAUAUUCCAGCUGUACCUGUAAAUCAACGCCAUAGUUUAAGUUAUUUAGAAACAUGUAUCAAAGACUGUAAUAAAUUAUACAAAAAUGGGGAAAACAGGGUUUUGUUAAAUGCAGCAAGGUUUGGGGAAUGGUUAGAAGUGUCGUUUCAAACAUUUCGAGAAGAUAAGAAAAGGGGAGGGUACUUUCGCCAAAAUUCGAUUUAUGGUUAAAAAACAAUUGCGGCAUUUGGGAAGAAGUGGGCAAAAGUAUUGAGAGAAUUUUACGAUCUAACAAAGGAUUAUCCCCAAUUAAUUUACUGCCGCCUACCCUUAAGUUUUUUCCGAAAAAACAAAAAGCAUAUAGUGAAUUUUUUUAGCAUACACGACAAGGAAGGUAGAAAAUGGGGACACCGAUUAGAUUGCAAAUGCAAACAUUGUGGCCCCUUGUAAAUAAGAUAUUUAACCAUUAGCACAAUGUCUGGAUGUCAGUGGUCUCGAAAAGAGCAUUUUGUAUGAAAAACUAAAAUGUGCUAGACAAUUAUUUAAACAGAACUCUGACAUCAUGCUUACGAAUAAAAUUUGUUUGACAAAGAAAAGGGAACUGGCAGUUCCCUUUAGUUCAAUAGAACUAGUGAUGACAUCAUGCUUAUGAAAAAAAUUUGUUUGACAAAGAAAAGGGAACUGGCAGUUCCCUUUAGUUCAAUAGAACUCUGACAUCAUUUUUUGAUCUAUAUUUAUUAUAUUAUAUAUUGUUAAAGUUAUAUGUUUUAAUGGUAAAGUCAGCCGUUUUUAAUAAAGUGAAAAACUCAGACAUGUAAAC